CCUUUAGAAAUGAAGAUUAACACCCCAUAAUAUAUUUAGGCCGCAUGUUUUUAUAUUAAAGGUUACGGUACAAGAUGAGUAUGCGUCCUAUUAGCUAGUUGGUAUGGUAACGGCAUACCAAGGCAACGAUAGGUAGGGGCCCUGAGAGGGGGAUCCCCCACACUGGUACUGAGACACGGACCAGACUCCUACGGGAGGCAGCAGUGAGGAAUAUUGGACAAUGGGGGGAACCCUGAUCCAGCCAUGCCGCGUGCAGGAAGACUGCCCUAUGGGUUGUAAACUGCUUUUGUACGGGAAGAAACCGCUCUACGCGUAGAGCCUUGACGGUACCGUAAGAAUAAGCAUCGGCUAACUCCGUGCCAGCAGCCGCGGUAAUACGGAGGAUGCAAGCGUUAUCCGGAAUCAUUGGGUUUAAAGGGUCCGUAGUGGGCCGGUCAGUCAGAGGUGAAAUCCUGCAGCUCAACUGUAGAACUGCCUUUGAUACUGCCGGUCUUGAAUCGUUGUGAAGUGGUUAGAAUAUGUAGUGUAGCGGUGAAAUGCAUAGAUAUUACAUAGAAUACCGAUUGCGAAGCAGAUCACUAACAGCGUAUUGACACUGAUGGACGAAAGCGUAGGUAGCGAACGGGAUUAGAUACCCCGGUAGUCUACGCCGUAAACGAUGGAUACUAGCUGUCCGGCUUCGGCUGGGUGGCUAAGCGAAAGUGAUAAGUAUCCCACCUGGGAGUACGUUCGCAAGAAUG
RNAcentral lists this ribosomal RNA (740 nucleotides) under uncultured bacterium. RNAcentral describes it as "bacterial SSU rRNA". It matches the Rfam family "Bacterial small subunit ribosomal RNA", at positions 147 to 896 of the family's 1533-position model. The record is from RNAcentral.